GAUGAACGCUGGCGGCGUGCCUAAUACAUGCAAGUCGAGCGAACGGACGAGAAGCUUGCUUCUCUGAUGUUAGCGGCGGACGGGUGAGUAACACGUGGAUAACCUACCUAUAAGACUGGGAUAACUUCGGGAAACCGGAGCUAAUACCGGAUAAUAUUUUGAACCGCAUGGUUCAAAAGUGAAAGACGGUCUUGCUGUCACUUAUAGAUGGAUCCGCGCUGCAUUAGCUAGUUGGUAGGGUAACGGCUUACCAAGGCAACGAUGCAUAGCCGACCUGAGAGGUUGAUCGGCCACACUGGAACUGAGACACGGUCCAGACUCCUACGGGAGGCAGCAGUAGGGAAUCUUCCGCAAUGGGCGAAAGCCUGACGGAGCAACGCCGCGUGAGUGAUGAAGGUCUUCGGAUCGUAAAACUCUGUUAUUAGGGAAGAACAUAUGUGUAAGUAACUGUGCACAUCUUGACGGUACCUAAUCAGAAAGCCACGGCUAACUACAUG
RNAcentral lists this ribosomal RNA (497 nucleotides) under uncultured bacterium. Its description in RNAcentral is "partial 16S ribosomal RNA". It matches the Rfam family "Bacterial small subunit ribosomal RNA", at positions 28 to 507 of the family's 1533-position model. The record is from RNAcentral.